This 484-nucleotide ribosomal RNA is filed under the name uncultured bacterium. RNAcentral describes it as "partial 16S ribosomal RNA". It matches the Rfam family "Bacterial small subunit ribosomal RNA", at positions 30 to 507 of the family's 1533-position model. The record is from RNAcentral.
AUUGAACGCUGGCGGCAGGCCUAACACAUGCAAGUCGAGCGGAUGAAGGGAGCUUGCUCCUGGAUUCAGCGGCGGACGGGUGAGUAAUGCCUAGGAAUCUGCCUGGUAGUGGGGGAUAACGUCCGGAAACGGGCGCUAAUACCGCAUACGUCCUGAGGGAGAAAGUGGGGGAUCUUCGGACCUCACGCUAUCAGAUGAGCCUAGGUCGGAUUAGCUAGUUGGUGGGGUAAAGGCCUACCAAGGCGACGAUCCGUAACUGGUCUGAGAGGAUGAUCAGUUACACUGGAACUGAGACACGGUCCAGACUCCUACGGGAGGCAGCAGUGGGGAAUAUUGGACAAAGGGCGAAAGCCUGAUCCAGCCAUGCCGCGUGUGUGAAGAAGGUCUUCGGAUUGUAAAGCACUUUAAGUUGGGAGGAAGGGCAGUAAGUUAAUACCUUGCUGUUUUGACGUUACCAACAGAAUAAGCACCGGCUAACUUCGUG